GACAGAGGCCUCAAGCGUUAGGCGGAAUCACUGGGCUUAAAGCGUGUGUAGGCGGGUCGUUAAGUACCUUGUGAAAUCCCACGGCUCACCCGUGGAACUGCUGGGUAUACUGGCGAUCUUGGGCCAUUCAGGGGCAACUGGAACAAGCGGUGGAGCGGUGAAAUGCGUAGAGAUCGGAAAGAACACCAACGGCGAAAGCACUCUGCUGGGCCGACACUGACACUGAGAGACGAAAGCUAGGGGAGCGAAUGGG
Molecule: ribosomal RNA, 253 nt
Filed under: uncultured bacterium
Lineage: Bacteria
Description: partial 16S ribosomal RNA
Rfam family: Bacterial small subunit ribosomal RNA
Source: RNAcentral